Long non-coding RNA from Nannospalax galili (Upper Galilee mountains blind mole rat), 1463 nucleotides. RefSeq lists it as uncharacterized. The record is from RefSeq and is a predicted model, not a curated record. Lineage: Eukaryota; Metazoa; Chordata; Mammalia; Rodentia; Spalacidae. The transcript has 3 exons.
UCGGCCACCAGCGCAACGACGAGCGCCAGCACGUCCGACAGCAUGUGGAAGGAGUCGGACAGCAUGGCGAGCGACGCGGUCACGCGGCUCACCACCACCUCCAGCACCAUGAACAUGAAGACGCGAAAACUGAACCCUCCUAGCUUUUUGGCUGGAAUAGGAGAGAGUGGAGAGGUUUCCAAGACUUUGUAAAGGACGGACAGAACCUGGUGAUAAGUUGAGCAUCGGGAAGGAAGAGCGCUGAGUGCUGGCUGUGGUGUUGGCGGGCUCAGGAACUCAGUACCUCUCCAUCAACACAGACAGCCGGGCCUUUUCCUCGAUCCAAAGGAAACACAGCUUCAGACCUAUAGAAGUCUAAAUUUGGAACCACUUCAGGGGUAAGAGGAAUAAGCAACAGAACAAAGAAUAAACUAGGAACAAUGUGGCAGUGAAGCCCAGAAAUAGUACAGAAGGCCUCAGAGGUGCCAGAGGAGCAUGUAAAGAGAUGCUGGGGGCAGGCAGCCCACUGGAGCAGACGGGAGCACAGCCUGUGGAGGAGAGACCUGCCCAACCAGGGGCAGGGAAUGUGGACCUUGUAGUUGUUGUGGAACUGAAGGCCACAGGUGAGAGCUCGUGUUGUGGGAUACUGAACGUGUGGUGUUCUCAGAGUGGAUAUAAGUUCUGUAGUCGUGGCUUAGAAAUUAAGUUAAGGCCCAGACACCAAGACUCACUGAGAGCACUUGGGAUCUCAGGCCUGUUUGCCUAGCUAUUUGGGAGGCUGAGGUAGGAGGGUGGUGAGUAUGAGGCCUGCCUGGGAUACAGGGUGAGUUUGAGGCCAGCCUGAGCAACUUAUGGAGACCCUGUCUCAAAACAAUAAGAGGGGCUGGAGAGCUGGCUGGUGGCUCAGAGCACUCGCUCUUGUAGAGGACUCAGGUCUGGUUCCCAGCACCCACAUCAGGAGGCUCACAACUGCCUAUAACUCAGGUUCUGGGGGAUCUGAGCCCUGCAAGCACUGAAUGGUGCACAUACAGGCAGACACAUACAAACAUGUACAUAAAAAUAAAUUAAAAAUUUCAAAAACAGUGAAAAAAGCUGGGGAUGUGGCCCUGUGACACACUGCUUGCCUAGCAUGUGGAAGACUUGUUCCCAGCACUGCAAAAAAGAAAGAAAAGGAAAAGAAACAAGUAUUUGUGGAUUUUAAAAUUACAUUUAUUUAUUUGAGUGUGUGAACACACACAUGCCACACGCAAGUGUGGAGAUCAGAAGACAAUUAACAGGUCAGGUUGUCAGGUGGGCGCCAGGCACCUUUACCUGCUGAGCCGUCUUGCCGGCCCUUGAAAAUGUUUUAGGCACUGUGUUACUUAAAAGCAGAAGCAGUUAAGGGCUCAGGUGCUCUCAAGGUUUAGACUUGAGUGCUCAUACUUUUUUGGUGGUGGUAGUUUUUUGAGGCAGGGUCUUGAGAUGCAGCCCAGGCUGACCUUGAA